RNAcentral lists this ribosomal RNA (52 nucleotides) under uncultured eukaryote. Its description in RNAcentral is "partial 5.8S ribosomal RNA". It matches the Rfam family "5.8S ribosomal RNA", at positions 1 to 50 of the family's 154-position model. From Rfam's summary of the family: 5.8S ribosomal RNA (5.8S rRNA) is a component of the large subunit of the eukaryotic ribosome. It is transcribed by RNA polymerase I as part of the 45S precursor that also contains 18S and 28S rRNA. Functionally, it is thought that 5.8S rRNA may be involved in ribosome translocation. The record is from RNAcentral.
AAAACUUUCAACAACGGAUCUCUUGGUUCUGGCAUCGAUGAAGACCGCAGCU